RNAcentral lists this ribosomal RNA (407 nucleotides) under uncultured bacterium. RNAcentral describes it as "partial 16S ribosomal RNA". It matches the Rfam family "Bacterial small subunit ribosomal RNA", at positions 30 to 526 of the family's 1533-position model. The record is from RNAcentral.
AUUGAACGCUGGCGGCAGGCCUAACACAUGCAAGUCGAGCGGGGCGGCCGACGGGUGAGUGAUGCCUAGGAAUCUGCCUGGGAGUAGGGGAUAACGUCCGGAAACGGACGCUAAUACCGCAUACUAUCAGAUAAGCCUAGGUCGGAUUAGCUAGUUGGUGGGGGAAAGGCGUACCAAGGCGACGAUCCGUAACUGGGCUGAGAGGAGGAUCAGUCACACUGGAACGGAGACACGGUCCAGACUCCUACGGGAGGCAGCAGUGGGGAAUAUUGGACAAUGGGCGAAAGCCUGAUCCAGCCAUGCCGCGUGUUUGAAGAAGGCCUUCGGAUUGUAAAGCACUUUUAGCUGGGAGGCGUUACCAACAGAAGAAGCACCGGCUAACUUCGUGCCAGCAGCCGCGGUAAUAC